CCGGUCGCCUCGGAAACGCUGCGCGCACCGGAGGCGAAUCUUGUCUAGAACGACCCGAGAACGUUGAAACAUCACCGGCAACGGAUAUCUCGGCUCUCGCAUCGAAGAAGAACGUAGCAAAAUGCGAUACUUGGUGUGAAUUGCAGAAUCCCGUGAACCAUCGAGUCUUGGAACGCAAGUUGCGCCCCAAGCCUUCUGGCCGAGGGCAUGUCUGCCUGGGUGUCACAAAUCGUCGUCCCCCCAUCCGCUCGAGGAUAUGGGACGGAAGCUGAUCUCCCGUGUGUUACCGCACGCGGUUGGCCAAAAUCCGAGCUAAGGACGUCAGGAGCGUCUUGACAUGCGGUGGUGAAUUUAAUUCUCGUCAUAUAGUCAGACGUUCCGGUCCUAAAGCUCUUGAUGACCCAAAGUCCUCAACGCGACCCCAGGUCAGGCGGGAUCACCCGCUGAG
Molecule: ribosomal RNA, 448 nt
Filed under: embryophyte environmental sample
Lineage: Eukaryota; Viridiplantae; Streptophyta
Description: eukaryotic LSU rRNA
Rfam family: 5.8S ribosomal RNA (bases 70-225)
Source: RNAcentral